RNAcentral lists this ribosomal RNA (872 nucleotides) under uncultured bacterium. RNAcentral's name for it is "bacterial SSU rRNA". It matches the Rfam family "Bacterial small subunit ribosomal RNA", at positions 45 to 906 of the family's 1533-position model. The record is from RNAcentral.
GGCCUAACACAUGCAAGUCGGGCGGUAACACAGGGAGCUUGCUCCUGGGUGACGAGCGGCGGACGGGUGAGUAAUGUCUGGGAAACUGCCUGAUGGAGGGGGAUAACUACUGGAAACGGUAGCUAAUACCGCAUAACGUCUUCGGACCAAAGUGGGGGACCUUCGGGCCUCAUGCCAUCAGAUGUGCCCAGAUGGGAUUAGCUAGUAGGUGAGGUAACGGCUCACCUAGGCGACGAUCCCUAGCUGGUCUGAGAGGAUGACCAGCCACACUGGAACUGAGACACGGUCCAGACUCCUACGGGAGGCAGCAGUGGGGAAUAUUGCACAAUGGGCGCAAGCCUGAUGCAGCCAUGCCGCGUGUAUGAAGAAGGCCUUCGGGUUGUAAAGUACUUUCAGCGAGGAGGAAGGCGGUGAGGUUAAUAACCUCAUCGAUUGACGUUACUCGCAGAAGAAGCACCGGCUAACUCCGUGCCUGCAGCCGCGGUAAUACGGAGGGUGCAAGCGUUAAUCGGAAUUACUGGGCGUAAAGCGCACGCAGGCGGUCUGUCAAGUCGGAUGUGAAAUCCCCGGGCUCAACCUGGGAACUGCAUUCGAAACUGGCAGGCUAGAGUCUUGUAGAGGGGGGUAGAAUUCCAGGUGUAGCGGUGAAAUGCGUAGAGAUCUGGAGGAAUACCGGUGGCGAAGGCGGCCCCCUGGACAAAGACUGACGCUCAGGUGCGAAAGCGUGGGGAGCAAACAGGAUUAGAUACCCUGGUAGUCCACGCCGUAAACGAUGUCGACUUGGAGGUUGUGCCCCUUGAGGCGUGGCUUCCGGAGCUAACGCGUUAAGUCGACCGCCUGGGGAGUACGGCCGCCAAGGUUAAAACUCAAAU